Molecule: long non-coding RNA, 458 nt
Organism: Erinaceus europaeus (western European hedgehog)
Lineage: Eukaryota; Metazoa; Chordata; Mammalia; Eulipotyphla; Erinaceidae
Exons: 3
Source: RefSeq, a predicted model, not a curated record
CCCUUCCCACUAAGCCUCUAAGCCAGCUGCCCAGACAGCAGAAGGAGAUAUGAACAGGGGAAGGUGACUCGAGGUCACAACCCAGUGUGUCAACCUUCCCAGGUUGCAGGCCUUUAAGAGCCUUCGUGUCUGAUCCCUAGAAGUCUGUGCUUAAGGUUCUUCUUUUUUUCCAAGAAGAAAGAAGCAUUUUCCAAGAUCCAACAGGUUGGUCAACACUGGCAGACAUCCUCCAUUACAACUAAUGAUGGGACUCAAGCACUGGAGAGGCUUUUACUAAUUGAGCCACCAAGUAUCCCUAUGAAGCUAACUAUACCACAAACUCCACAUCAACUACUGGAAAUCUCCAACAUCAUUUGCAAGAGGUGUGGAGCUGCCUAUCAGUUGGGCUCACAUGUGAAAUAAUUUGUCACCAGUUCCCCACUACUGGGUCUUGUAUAUAAAACUCAAAUUAUACUGCA